GACGUAGGGCGCAAGCGUUGUCCGGAAUUAUUGGGCGUAAAGAGCUCGUAGGCUGUUCGAUAAGUCGGGUGUGAAACCUCCAGGCUCAACCUGGAGACGCCACCCGAUACUGUCAUGACUAGAGUCCGGUAGGGGAGCGUGGAAUUCCUGGUGUAGCGGUGAAAUGCGCAGAUAUCAGGAGGAACACCAGCGGCGAAGGCGGCGCUCUGGGCCGGUACUGACGCUGAGGAGCGAAAGCGUGGGUAGCAAACAGG
This 254-nucleotide ribosomal RNA is filed under the name uncultured bacterium. Its description in RNAcentral is "partial 16S ribosomal RNA". It matches the Rfam family "Bacterial small subunit ribosomal RNA", at positions 524 to 776 of the family's 1533-position model. The record is from RNAcentral.